CAGGUAGGUAGUUUAAGUAAAAUACCGAUUUUGGAAAUCGCUGACUGGGUAUCAAUCCCACCACCUGA
RNAcentral lists this transfer RNA (68 nucleotides) under Lepetodrilus nux. Its description in RNAcentral is "tRNA-Pro". The record is from RNAcentral. Lineage: Eukaryota; Metazoa; Mollusca; Gastropoda; Lepetellida; Lepetodrilidae.